UAAAUCACAAUUGGCAUUAUUACGUACAUAAGCUCUUUUCUAGGAACAUCGAUGGUGUGACGUCACAGAAGCAGUGAUGACGUAACAGAAGAACCUGCUUCAACAUGGGUAUGUGACGUCACAGAAGAUCUUGACAAUGGUUCCAGAACAAAAAGAAUGAAAGACGGAAAAAAGACGAGAAAAAAAGCGCAAGACGAAGAACAAAGACGAAGACGCCAAUAUAAGGAUCCCGGUUUGAGGUGUUUGUAGGUUUAAGUGUGUAUAGGUUUAUUUAUGCGGCGGUAUACGCGCGAAGAAAGAAGAUCAAAGAUGACGUACGAUGUGACGUCAAGUACACUGAUGACGUAACAGAAGAACCUGCUUAAACGUGUGAUAUGACGUCACGAAGUAUUGACGACGUAACUGAAGAACCGGAUUCAAUAUCGGUUUAUGACGUAACAUAGAAGGUGAUGCAUCUUGGACGUAAGAAGAUGAUUAUGACGUAACAGACGAAGAACAAACACGAAAACGCCAAUAUAAGGAUGCCGGUUUGAGGUGCUUAUAUAAAUAAAUUUUAAGUAUGA
This is a non-coding RNA of Ciona intestinalis (vase tunicate), 563 nucleotides long. NCBI's taxonomy places the organism in Eukaryota, Metazoa, Chordata, Ascidiacea, Phlebobranchia, Cionidae. The record is from RefSeq and is a predicted model, not a curated record.